CCUACGGGCGGCAGCAGUGAGGAAUAUUGGUCAAUGGACGAUAGUCUGAACCAGCCAAGUAGCGUGAAGGAUGACUGCCCUAUGGGUUGUAAACUUCUUUUAUAUGGGAAUAAAACGCAGCACGUAUGCCGUUUUGCAUGUACUUUAUGAAUAAGGAUCGGCUAACUCCGUGCCAGCAGCCGCGGUAAUACGGAGGAUCCGAGCGUUAUCCGGAUGUAUUGGGUUUAAAGGGAGCGUAGGUGGGUUGUUAAGUCAGUUGUGAAAGUUUGCGGCUCAACCAUAAAAUUGCAGUUGAUACUGGCAGUCUUGAGUACAGUAGAGGUAGGCGGAAUUCGUGGUGUAGCGGUGAAAUGCUUAGAUAUCACGAAGAACUCCGAUUGCGAAGGCAGCUUACUGAACUGUGACUGACAUUGAUGCUCGAAAGUGUGGGUAUCAAACAGGAUUAGAUACCCUUGUAGUC
Molecule: ribosomal RNA, 460 nt
Filed under: uncultured bacterium
Lineage: Bacteria
Description: partial 16S ribosomal RNA
Rfam family: Bacterial small subunit ribosomal RNA
Source: RNAcentral